CCCCUGGUGGUCUAGUGGUUUGGAUGCGGCGCUCUCACUGCCACGGCCCGGGUUCAAUCCCAGUCAGGGAU
This 71-nucleotide transfer RNA is filed under the name Manacus vitellinus (golden-collared manakin). It matches the Rfam family "tRNA". From Rfam's summary of the family: Transfer RNA (tRNA) molecules are approximately 80 nucleotides in length. Lineage: Eukaryota; Metazoa; Chordata; Aves; Passeriformes; Pipridae. The record is from Rfam by way of RNAcentral.